AUACGGAGGGGGCUAGCGUUGUUCGGAAUCACUGGGCGUAAAGCGCGCGUAGGCGGAUUGGUCAGUUGGGGGUGAAAUCCCGAGGCUCAACCUCGGAACUGCCUCCAAAACUGCCAGUCUCGAGUCCGGGAGAGGUGAGUGGAAUUCCGAGUGUAGAGGUGAAAUUCGUAGAUAUUCGGAGGAACACCAGUGGCGAAGGCGACUCACUGGCCCGGUACUGACGCUGAGGUGCGAAAGCGUGGGGAGCAAACAGGAUUAGAAACCCCAGUAGUCC
RNAcentral lists this ribosomal RNA (274 nucleotides) under uncultured bacterium. Its description in RNAcentral is "partial 16S ribosomal RNA". It matches the Rfam family "Bacterial small subunit ribosomal RNA", at positions 523 to 796 of the family's 1533-position model. The record is from RNAcentral.